UGUGGCCUCCUCCAUACGUGCGGAACAAGUUGGACAGCCGCCUCCUCGAUCUGGACGGGACAAGAUCGGCGGCCGACUCCUUUGCGGCGGCUGUACCGAUCCUCCAACCUCCCGCGGAGCGACACCCGAAAGUUGCAGCAGAGGCGACCAAUGUCAAGAUCGUGAAGCCGAUAGAUGCAGCGUCGUCUGGAUAGCCCACUACUCGGAUGACAAAAAAAGGUUGAAGAAGAGCCGGCCAAUUGCAAGAUCGUGCAUCCAUCUGCUGUAAAUUCGAAGAAGAUCCGGCCAAUUCCAUGACAUGUCGCAGCGCUGGAUUUCGCUUUGGGAGUAGUCAUCUGAUCUCAGUUGCCUCCACUGACGGUUAAAUCUGGGACCAUCAGAUGUCUUGGAUGGUGGAAGCAAUUAGUUGUGAGCCGGUUACUGAUUUUUCACAUGACUACUCUUCCGGUUAUUUUAGCAAAAUUGAUCUGGAUUCUUAGAAAAGAAUUUACAUACAUACUAGCUCUACAAGAGGAAUUCUUUUUUAUAUGUGCUACGCAAUUCUUUCAGAGCCAAUGAAGAGUGUUUUCAAGGU
Molecule: long non-coding RNA, 574 nt
Organism: Lolium perenne
Lineage: Eukaryota; Viridiplantae; Streptophyta; Magnoliopsida; Poales; Poaceae
Source: RefSeq, a predicted model, not a curated record